This 496-nucleotide ribosomal RNA is filed under the name uncultured bacterium. Its description in RNAcentral is "partial 16S ribosomal RNA". It matches the Rfam family "Bacterial small subunit ribosomal RNA", at positions 28 to 506 of the family's 1533-position model. The record is from RNAcentral.
GACGAACGCUGGCGGCGUGCCUAAUACAUGCAAGUUGAGCGCUGAAGGUUGGUACUUGUACCAACUGGAUGAGCAGCGAACGGGUGAGUAACGCGUGGGGAAUCUGCCUUUGAGCGGGGGACAACAUUUGGAAACGAAUGCUAAUACCGCAUAAAAACUUUAAACACAAGUUUUAAGUUUGAAAGAUGCAAUUGCAUCACUCAAAGAUGAUCCCGCGUUGUAUUAGCUAGUUGGUGAGGUAAAGGCUCACCAAGGCGAUGAUACAUAGCCGACCUGAGAGGGUGAUCGGCCACAUUGGAACUGAGACACGGCCCAAACUCCUACGGGAGGCAGCAGUAGGGAAUCUUCGGCAAAGGACGAAAGUCUGACCGAGCAACGCCGCGUGAGUGAAGAAGGUUUUCGGAUCGUAAAACUCUGUUGGUAGGGAAGAACGUUGGUGAGAGUGGAAAGCUCAUCAAGUGACGGUAACUACCCAGAAAGGGACGGCUAACUACGU